AAAAAAUUUGGACCGCUGUCUGUUCAUCGUCUCUCUCUAACUCUCGUCGCCGAUUUGCUGAAGCGUCCUCCUAGUAAAGAGUUACAACCUGUUGACGUUGAUGAGACUUAUAUGGGAUAUGAGACAUGGUCUCCAAGUCCACCAAAGUUGGAGAAACCAAGAUCAGUCUUCAAUGCUGCUUCAUUAGCUUUUAUAGACAGGCGAUUCUAUUUACGAGGCCUUUUCUUUUCCCUCCGCUUAGUAUUGAAGACUAUAACGACCUUGUUAGAGCAGUGGUGCGCGCUGAAUCGCAGUAUGCAUUGCUAAAGAAGCUUGUUGACGAUGAUUUCUUAACAAAAUAAGAGAGGCAAGAAUCUAGGUUCCGCAAGAACACGUACAAGAAGGCGUGCGGGUAGUGCGGUUUAUAACAAGGCAUCAUCAUUGGAGACACUAAGUAAGUAACCCUAAUAUCUAAAUUUACACUACGUUCUUCUUUAUGCUUCUAACUCUUAUAACAAGGCAUGAUCUGCGUGAUACUAAACCCGCUUCAUCUGUUCAAUUGGUUAUCUGUAUCUGACAAAUGGGAAAAGAUUAGAA
Molecule: non-coding RNA, 576 nt
Organism: Camelina sativa (false flax)
Lineage: Eukaryota; Viridiplantae; Streptophyta; Magnoliopsida; Brassicales; Brassicaceae
Source: RefSeq, a predicted model, not a curated record